This 253-nucleotide ribosomal RNA is filed under the name uncultured bacterium. RNAcentral describes it as "partial 16S ribosomal RNA". It matches the Rfam family "Bacterial small subunit ribosomal RNA", at positions 524 to 776 of the family's 1533-position model. The record is from RNAcentral.
UACGUAGGGGGCAAGCGUUACUCGGAAUUACUGGGCGUAAAGCGUGCGCAGGCGGUGAUGUAAGACAGGUGUGAAAUCCCCGGGCUUAACCUGGGAACUGCAUUUGUGACUGCAUCGCUGGAGUGCGGCAGAGGGGGAUGGAAUUCCGCGUGUAGCAGUGAAAUGCGUAGAUAUGCGGAGGAACACCGAUGGCGAAGGCGAUCCCCUGGGCCUGCACUGACGCUCAUGCACGAAAGCGUGGGGAGCAAACAGG